This 837-nucleotide ribosomal RNA is filed under the name Campylobacter jejuni. RNAcentral describes it as "bacterial SSU rRNA". It matches the Rfam family "Bacterial small subunit ribosomal RNA", at positions 596 to 1430 of the family's 1533-position model. Lineage: Bacteria; Pseudomonadati; Campylobacterota; Epsilonproteobacteria; Campylobacterales; Campylobacteraceae. The record is from RNAcentral.
GAAAUCUAAUGGCUUAACCAUUAAACUGCUUGGGAAACUGAUAGUCUAGAGUGAGGGAGAGGCAGAUGGAAUUGGUGGUGUAGGGGUAAAAUCCGUAGAUAUCACCAAGAAUACCCAUUGCGAAGGCGAUCUGCUGGAACUCAACUGACGCUAAGGCGCGAAAGCGUGGGGAGCAAACAGGAUUAGAUACCCUGGUAGUCCACGCCCUAAACGAUGUACACUAGUUGUUGGGGUGCUAGUCAUCUCAGUAAUGCAGCUAACGCAUUAAGUGUACCGCCUGGGGAGUACGGUCGCAAGAUUAAAACUCAAAGGAAUAGACGGGGACCCGCACAAGCGGUGGAGCAUGUGGUUUAAUUCGAAGAUACGCGAAGAACCUUACCUGGGCUUGAUAUCCUAAGAACCUUUUAGAGAUAAGAGGGUGCUAGCUUGCUAGAACUUAGAGACAGGUGCUGCACGGCUGUCGUCAGCUCGUGUCGUGAGAUGUUGGGUUAAGUCCCGCAACGAGCGCAACCCACGUAUUUAGUUGCUAACGGUUCGGCCGAGCACUCUAAAUAGACUGCCUUCGUAAGGAGGAGGAAGGUGUGGACGACGUCAAGUCAUCAUGGCCCUUAUGCCCAGGGCGACACACGUGCUACAAUGGCAUAUACAAUGAGACGCAAUACCGCGAGGUGGAGCAAAUCUAUAAAAUAUGUCCCAGUUCGGAUUGUUCUCUGCAACUCGAGAGCAUGAAGCCGGAAUCGCUAGUAAUCGUAGAUCAGCCAUGCUACGGUGAAUACGUUCCCGGGUCUUGUACUCACCGCCCGUCACACCAUGGGAGUUGAUUUCACUCGAAGCCGG